This 361-nucleotide unclassified non-coding RNA is filed under the name fungal sp. RNAcentral's name for it is "partial internal transcribed spacer region". The stretch from base 1 to 46 matches the Rfam family "Eukaryotic small subunit ribosomal RNA", at positions 1786 to 1831 of the family's 1831-position model. The record is from RNAcentral. Lineage: Eukaryota; Fungi.
AAGUCGUAACAAGGUUUCCGUAGGUGAACCUGCGGAAGGAUCAUUGCAAAAGAUCGCUCGCCAGAAUAACCUUCUGGCUGAGCAAAAGAUCCAACCACUCUUGUCAACCGUUUACCGUCUUUGGUGUCGUAGUGCCCGUCUUGGCCCUUCGGGUGCCCAGGAUUGCGGCGCGUCUUUCUCGUCGAACGACGUGGGAGGCGGCACCGCUGGUCUGAUGAUCCACGCUUGCCGUGUUUCUGACGGCCUUCAAAACAAAAACUCUUAUACUUUCUUCUGUGUGACUGACUUGAAACAAUGCAAGAUCUCUUUUGAGAUUCUUACAAUUCAAAAACAACUUUUGGCAACGGAUCUCUUGGCUCUA